AAGCUUUCUAAGCGCCCCGAUCACUACUCGUCGGGUACGACUUCUUUGCCUUUUCCGGAAGGCUCUCCUCCUAGACACAUUACAAAAAUUUACACAAUUCAUCACAUUGAUGCUAAAUCACUAUAUAAUUAACUUAAAUCCUAUACUAAUGCAUGGUAUGAAAUGCAAUAGCCUAAAACGGCUUAAACGCGGUAUUAACCUAUUUUUGGCACUUUGCCCGAUAAAUUGCUAACGCGCUCCAUUUUAGCUCUAAAUCAUCCCAUUCUCUCUCCAACAUUUCUAACCAUUAAAUAUCAGCCAAUAACCUUCUAAAAACAACAAAAUCAGCUCACUCCCUUCCUUGGAAAAUUCGGCCAAAAAUGGGACAUUAACUCGGUUAAUUUUCUACUUUGUUUUUCUAUCACGUUUAAUCGUUUUUCAUCAUUUUCUCUUCAUUUUCCUUAGAAUAAAAUCAAUUCAUCAUCAUUGUACAGCAUUGAGCAUCCAGCCAAGAGUGGGUAUUGUGAAAAUUUAAUGAUUUCUUGCCCAAUUUAAUUUCUAAACACAUUUAACUAACUAAAACUAUCAAUUUAACUAAAAAUCAAAACCUAAAAAUUUCAAUUUCUCUCCCCUAGAAUUUCGUCCAGCCCUUGAUAUCACUUUUUGAUCUCUCUCCUCAAGCAUGCUAAAUGGAAAUAAAGGCAUAGGAAAGGUAGAAAUCAAGCUAAAAUCGAAAAAUCUUACCGUUAGACGCGUAAACGGUCGAAAACCGCGAAUUUCUCUUUGAAUUUUCUUGUUUCUCUUUGGUUUUUCUUUUCUUCUUCCUUUCCUCUCUAUUUCCUCUGUUUUUCUUCCUUAUGGCCGGCCAGCACUCAAAAUUUGGGUUUAAAUGGCUGACUUUUCAUUAAAAUAAUAUUAUUUCUUUAAAAAAUGCCACGUGUCACUUUCCCAUUGGCCCAUUUUUAAAAUUUCAUCCAUUUGUUUCCAAAUUUUCACCAUACACUUGUCUCAUAUAUUCAUAGCUUAGAUAAAAUUCUCAGACUCAUCCAAAGUCUCGGUGGAGUAAUUUUUGAAAUUUACACUUUUGCCCCCGUAAAAGUCAAAAAUUACAUUUUUGCCCCAAAAAUUGAAAAAUUGCCCAUAGACAUAUUUUUCAUCCCUUAUACUCAUACCAUUCUCCAAUUUGUCAAAUUUGAUCUAAAUUCUCUCAAAAUCUCAAAUUUUGUCCGUGGGUGGCAAAAUUACGAUUUUGCCCCUACACUCCAAAAAUCACCAGAAUUAAACUUUUUCACUUCCUAUCAUUAAAUUAUACUCCAAAUAGUUAAUCUUGGUCAAAAAUUUCACUCCAUGAUCAAAUUAUUAUCUUAGGUGGUAAAAUGACAAUUUUGCCCUUGAAUAUCAAAAUUUCUAAUUUUACCCCAAAUGAACCCUCGAACUCCGAACAAUCAUUUUUAGUCAUUCCUGGACUAUAAAAUAUUAAAUUUCAUCCUACAAUUCCUAUUUGAACUAGUUCGAGGUUAAAUCAAUUUAACUGUACCGUUAGGUACAAUAUCAGGUUUCGUCUAUUCUUAAGUGCUUUUCUAGCGUAAUAACAUGCUACUCAAUGCAUGUAUGUCAUGACAUGUAUUAUAGGGUCGGAUUUUACAUAUAAAGUUUUACCAACCUUAAUAAAAUCAAAUAAAUUGUUUCGAACUAAUUUUAAGUCAUAAAUGCUUAAAAAUCUGAAUUCAAAUCUUCUUUUCUUUUUUGUUUUCCUCUGCACUACAUAAAAAUCGUUUAUGUUUUUUUUAUUUUGUUUUUUGUAAACAAAUAUCUUUUAGCUUGUUUUUCUUUAUUUUGUUUUCUUUUUGUACACAACUUGCACACCUCUUUUCUUUUAUUUUUUAACCUUUGCAUACGGUUUACACGGUUUUCAACAUGUCUCCUAUUUUCUUUUUUCAUGAAUUAAUCAACACUUUUUUUCUCUCAAAUCAAAUAACUAUACAAAUUUGUUUAUUUUUUUAUAUUAUGUUUUCUCUUUGCACAUGAUUUGCAUGAUUUUCACAAUUUUUAAUAUUUUUUAUGUUUUUAUGAAUCGAUCAAACAAUUUUUUUCUCUUAAAACCAAAUAACUAUAUUAAUUUUUUUUUAUUUUUUCUUUCUUUUAUUUUGUUUUCCCUUUGCAAAUGAUUUGCACAGUUUUCAUGAUUUUUAAUAUUAUUUCUAUUUUUUUCGUGAAUCAAUCAAAUACUUUUUUUAUUUUGUUUUCCCUUCACACACAAUUUGCACGAUUUUCACCAUUUCUCCUAUUCUUUUUUUCUGUGAAUCAAUAAAAUAAUUUUUUUUCUCUCCAAACCAAAUAACUAUGCUAAAUUCUUUUUUCUUUCUAUUUACAAAGGAUUUGUACAAUUUUAUCAUUUCUCUUACUCUCUUUUAUGAUGAAUCAAUUAAAUAAUUUUCUCUUUUUUUAUUGUUUUUUAUUUUGCAUGCAUUGCAUAUUUAUUUUCUUAUCCAAUAUAUACUUGACAAUUCAUAGAUUACAACGUCAAUAACAACUUGACAAUUUUUUAAAAACUACUUCCUUAUGAUUCAUUAUGUGCAGCAAUGAUUCAUUAAUUGAAGCAUACAAACUAAAAAAAAACUCCUUAAUUUAUUUUCCAGUUCCACGUUUGGAAUUUUGAAAUUCUGAAGGUGAUUAUAUUUGUUGUUGUUGUAGUGCUCUAACACAUUCUUACAUAAUCGUAGAAUAUAGAUCUAGAGCACCCAUUAACAACCACUAUGUUUUCAGCACUUUGAACAGUUUUUUUAUACAGAUUCAUUUUCAUCAACUACAAGUUCUUCUUUAUCAUCCAAAAAUCUUGUAUCUUCAAAAUCAUAUGUAGCUCUAAAAAUUGAUGAUUUGGGUAACUUUCCAAGCCAUUCAAAUAUGCAAGUCUACUUAAAUACUUUCCACUUCUUGGGCUAAAACACCUUUCCAAAUCAAUAUAACAAAGAAACUCUUUUCCUACAAGUUCAUUGAACUUCUCAAUGAACUUGACCCUCUCUUGACUGUUCUAAAAGUAUGUGCAUCGAUAAGCCAGCAAAUCAGAACUUUGACCAAAUUAUGUUAAAAAAACAUAUGAAGGCAUGGAAUCACUUCUUUAGACAAUUUAAGAGUUUCCAUAUUACUAACAUCUCGUAAUCCCAAUGGAAAGCCAAUCAGUAUAGAUAUGAUUUCUCUUAAGUCCUCAAGAUCUUUUUCUAUACUACUUGUCUUAUUGGCCAUAGGAAACAACUUGCCUUUCAAUGUUUUAUCAUCCUUGCAAGAUAUUAAGAUCACCUCUCCAUCUCUCAAAUUUCCAAAAGGGAUAUUAUCAUCUUAAAAGACUCACAAUUCAUGUAUUACACACUUGAAUAUUUCUUGAAAACCGUCCUCAAUCAAUAUCUUCCAAGAUGUAAUAUCAUGUUGUAAAAAGACUUAAACUCCACCAACUUAUUAUUCAACCAAGAUGAUAAAUACAUAAAAUCACCUUCCACAACAAUUAAAUUCUUAUCCAUAACAACUUGAGAAUCAUCAAAACAUUUUAUCUUCACAAUAUAAGAAGAAGGAAAAUUCCUCAAAGAUAUUAACCGUGUUCACAGCAACAAUAUAAUCAACAAUUAGAACCAAAAUGUAGUCUUCCAUUUUAUAACAUGAAUUUGUUGAAAAAUUACAAGACAUGUGACAUAAAACGCCUUCUUUCAAGUUUUCAGCCAAUGAAAAGCUAAAAUACUUUUCCAUUUUCGAUGGUGUAGUAGCCAUUUGCUCUAACCCCACUGGUGAUGUAGUAACUGUCGAAAUGAGCUUUGCAACCAAUUAAGAUUGGUUAAGGCUUGGUUCCAAUCAUGCAAUAAUAUCAUUCAAUUGAAUUAUUAAAGGUUUUAUUUCAUUAAUAAGGCAUCAAUUAUAAUAUGUUAUAAGUCUAAUUGGAUGAAAUCUAUGAGAUUAAUAUGCCAUACAAGGGAAUUACAAUGGGUUGCAACUAUGAAAUCCUCAAGCAUCAAAGCAUAAUCUCUAAAUUUUCUUGGUUGAUUAUCAUUAAGACUAAACAUCAAUGAUGCCUAAAGACUAGUACAUUCUAUGUUCUUUACUUAAGAAGUAAGCAACCGAUCUCAUAAGUUGAAGUAUAGAGAUACUUGAAACUAGAAUGUAGGUAUUUGCCACGGAGAGAAAGUUCACUAAACAUAACCUAAUAUCAGAGGUGCAUUCAGCAUCUCACUCUAGUGUCUAUGCAAUACUUCUAUUGUGUCAGUCAUAUAAAAACUCAUUAGACUUCAGACGUCAAGUUGUCUUAUAUAAAGAGUGCUAUAUAUUUGAUUAUAUCUCUAUGGGUCAUAUUAAGUGUUGGGUGAAGGUUGAUGUCACGGCCCGAAAUUCCCAUCAAGCCCGUGACAAUCACCGCGAUGUCUCGAUUGACAUUCAUUACUCGAAAUGCCAACCAAAACCUCGCAAGGCUUUCGCAUCAGUUUUACUUCUCCCCUGUGAGCAACAAUUAUUAAAUACCAUGUUUUAAAGAAAUAUAGACUAUUUUCAAAUCAAAAAAAAUGAAAAAUUAAUUUCUACUACAUAGGGGUAUUUUGGUCAUUUUACUCAAAAUUUUUGAACCUUAGUAAAAAUAUGAUAUAUGAGUAAUAAGCAUCCAUUUCAUGUUUAAAAAUAAGUUUUGUUGUCUAAUUCAUCAAUUUAAAGUGAAAUUAUAACAAUUCAAAUUAAAUAAAAUAUUUCGUUUUCUUAUAAAACAAUAUUUAUAGAACUAUACGUAAAUAAUUUUUGUAGCGUAAAAGCAAAAUAAAUUCAUAUAUAUAAUAGCACACUAAACCAGGUAUACAAAAAUAUUCUACAAUGACAUGUGGGCCCUCAAAAUAACAAAAUAAACAAGACUAUAGACUUGCGAUUUCUAAGGGUGCAAAUCUAAAAGCAAACCCUCGACAUAAUCAGCGGUCUACAAACUACCCUAAGCCUGAAAUGGGUGAAAAGAAGGGGUGAGUUUUUAUAAACCCAGUGAGUAAGCAAAGUUCAUCUACAAUAUCUAAAGCCGAGUAAAUGGAGACAGUUAAAUCAUCCCAUCAUAAUAUGAUUCAUAACAUUUAAAACUCAUUUCAAUACAUAUAAAACAAUUACAUUUCAUCGAAAUAAUCAACAAGGCUUAUGACUUUCUUAAAAACUUGGCUCGUGCCAAAAAUUAGUACUCGAUGAUGCCUUGCGUCGGUCAUCCAACUGAGUCUGCCAAGGCAGUUAAAAAGACAUAUACACAUAAAACAUGUUUUCACGUUUAGAAACAUAACCGUUCCUUGGCGUUGGCUGAGUUUCACUUUCACAUGGCGGUUCAACGUGAAGUGAACUCUAAACUUUACCUUAGGAGAUACCCUCUGCGCCUCUCAUACUAAGGUAAAAUAUAACGGGGUUUACCGUGCCCCUCUAAUAGGCUAGUCCACAGAAACUCGCCCACUGCAGUAAGCUAAAUACAUAACCCACCAAAUCAAUAAAAUUUCAGCAGCAUAACAUGGCUAAAAUAGUACUAUCCAACCUGUCAAUGUAAGACAAAACAAUUUAUAUAAUUCACAAAAUCACAAUUUCAGCCAUUCACGCUACCACAAUUUCAUAAGCCAUCAAUUCAAAUGAUGUAUAUAUAUAUAAUACGAAUGUAUAGCCUCCACUUACUCUAUUUCGAAAAUCAACAUUUAGUUUCAGAAUAAUUUAUAAAUCUCAUUUAUUUAACCAACAUUUAAAAUGUAAAACAUAAUAAUUUGCAAAUUAAGUGCCUUAUUCUUUAAAAUCUUAAAACAAGUAUAAACUACUUUAGAUAAUUAAGAUGAACAUCUAAUUACUCACUAUAAUGGGAAUUUGGAGUGGUAGGAGUACUUCUAUUCUCGGUCCUCCGGCAUUAUAUCUUUGCCCUUAUCGAGUGGUUCAGCACUUAUCCAUAAUACACAAUACGUAAUUCAAUACAUUGGUGUCAAAUUAUUAUAAAACUAUUUCAGACUCUAUAUGAAUGCAUGAAGUUGAAUGAGAAAUGUUCAGAUAGUCACUUAAAGACGGUGUUCUACGCAGGUUCAAUUGUGAUCGGAAGGAAUUUAUAUUCGAUCUAAUUCGAACUAUACACCAUUAAUUUAACCAAAACAUCCGAUGCAACUCCAAAUAUAUUCAUUACACUUCUAAUAAUCUAAUACACCAAAGCAUUACAAUGAACUUGAUUUUUGACUAACUUCACCAUGUUUCGAAAUUCAUUCGGAUUCCGAACUAACAUACUAAUCAAUGUUUACACAGUCUCGUAAAUCCAUAUAUAUCAUUAGGAAUCAAAUCCAAAUCCAUUUACUAUGAUUUUCUCAGUUUCCAUCAAGCCAUUUUCUAAAGGAACUAUACUUUUCAAUAACCGGUUUCGAUAUCCAACAUCAUAAUUCAUCAAUUCCUAGCUAAAUAACAUGAAUUACAACCAAAUCCAUCACCAACAUGCCCUAUAGAAAAUUCGGCCAAAUGUGGGUGGUUGAAGAACAUGUGAUUUUCUUGCUUGUUUUUCCUUCCAAACAUCACAAAAUGACUAAAAACACUAGGAUAUUAUGAAAUAUAGUAAAAUUCAUCACCAAAACUUCUCUCUCUAGAUUUGGCUAGCAAAGGUUCCCUCUUAAAAACCUGAAUUUUAGCCAUGGAGAAUGAAAAAGAAUGCAUGGGAAAGGUAGAUCACAAGCUAAAAUUAAAAAAUCUUACCUUUACUUGCUUGAUUCCUUGAAAUCCAACAAUUU
RNAcentral lists this long non-coding RNA (6716 nucleotides) under Theobroma cacao (cacao). RNAcentral's name for it is "long non-coding RNA (TCAC_LNC001618)". The record is from RNAcentral. Lineage: Eukaryota; Viridiplantae; Streptophyta; Magnoliopsida; Malvales; Malvaceae.